Molecule: transfer RNA, 55 nt
Filed under: Mansonella ozzardi
Lineage: Eukaryota; Metazoa; Nematoda; Chromadorea; Rhabditida; Onchocercidae
Description: tRNA-Asn
Source: RNAcentral
GAAUUUUUAGUAUAAGUUGUAUAACUAACUGUUGAUUAGUGGGUUUAUGAAUUCU